AACGAACGCUGGCGGCAGGCUUAACACAUGCAAGUCGAGCGCCCCGCAAGGGGAGCGGCAGACGGGUGAGUAACGCGUGGGAAUCUACCCAUCACUACGGAACAACUCCGGGAAACUGGAGCUAAUACCGUAUACGUCCUUCGGGAGAAAGAUUUAUCGGUGAUGGAUGAGCCCGCGUUGGAUUAGCUAGUUGGUGGGGUAAUGGCCUACCAAGGCGACGAUCCAUAGCUGGUCUGAGAGGAUGAUCAGCCACACUGGGACUGAGACACGGCCCAGACUCCUACGGGAGGCAGCAGUGGGGAAUAUUGGACAAUGGGCGAAAGCCUGAUCCAGCCAUGCCGCGUGAGUGAUGACGGCCCUAGGGUUGUAAAGCUCUUUUAGCAGGGACGAUAAUGACGGUACCUGCAGAAUAAGCUCCGGCUAACUUCGUGCCAGCCGCCGCCGUAA
This 447-nucleotide ribosomal RNA is filed under the name uncultured bacterium. Its description in RNAcentral is "partial 16S ribosomal RNA". It matches the Rfam family "Bacterial small subunit ribosomal RNA", at positions 29 to 523 of the family's 1533-position model. The record is from RNAcentral.